AACCCAUGGUGAGGGCACCUUUUCAAAAGGUUAUUGUAUCUCUUCCAUGCAUCAUAGAGUGUUUCUAAAUCCAUCUGCACAAAAGAAGAAAUAUCAUUAUGUAAUU
This 106-nucleotide small nucleolar RNA is filed under the name Gossypium arboreum. RNAcentral describes it as "Plant small nucleolar RNA R71". It matches the Rfam family "Plant small nucleolar RNA R71". Rfam says of the family: R71 is a member of the C/D box family of snoRNAs containing the C (UGAUGA) and D (CUGA) box motifs. Multiple nearly identical copies of this snoRNA have been identified in Arabidopsis, and it is thought to function as a 2'-O-ribose methylation guide for 18S ribosomal RNA. The record is from Rfam by way of RNAcentral. Lineage: Eukaryota; Viridiplantae; Streptophyta; Magnoliopsida; Malvales; Malvaceae.